RNAcentral lists this ribosomal RNA (537 nucleotides) under uncultured bacterium. RNAcentral describes it as "bacterial SSU rRNA". It matches the Rfam family "Bacterial small subunit ribosomal RNA", at positions 343 to 896 of the family's 1533-position model. The record is from RNAcentral.
GGGAGGCAGCAGCAAGGAAUUUCCGCAAUGGGCGCAAGCCUGACGGAGCAACGCCGCGUGGGGGAGGACGCUUUUCGGAGUGUAAACCCCUUUUCUCAGGGAAGAUGAUGACGGUACCUGAGGAAGAAGGACCGGCUAACUACGUGCCAGCAGCCGCGGUAAUACGUAGGGUCCGAGCGUUGUCCGGAGUUACUGGGCAUAAAGCGCACGUAGGUGGUCCGCUAAGUCGCGUGUGAAAUCCCCCGGCUCAACCGGGGGAAAUGCGCGUGAUACUGGCGGGCUUGAGAUCGGGAGGGGUGAAUGGAACUCCAGGUGGAGCGGUGAAAUGCGUAGAUAUCUGGAGGAACACCGGUGGCGAAAGCGGUUCACUGGCCCGACACUGACACUGAGGUGCGAAAGCUAGGGUAGCAAACGGGAUUAGAUACCCCGGUAGUCCUAGCCGUAAACGGUGCACGUUUGCUGUAAGAGGAAUCGACCCCUUUUGUGGCGAAGCUAACGCGUUAAACGUGCCGCCUGGGAAGUACGGCCGCAAGGUUA